CGGGGAAUUUUGGACAAUGGGCGCAAGCCUGAUCCAGCCAUGCCGCGUGCGGGAAGAAGGCCUUCGGGUUGUAAACCGCUUUUGUCAGGGAAGAAAAGGUUCUGGCUAAUACCUGGGACUCAUGACGGUACCUGAAGAAUAAGCACCGGCUAACUACGUGCCAGCAGCCGCGGUAAUACGUAGGGUGCAAGCGUUAAUCGGAAUUACUGGGCGUAAAGCGUGCGCAGGCGGUUAUGCAAGACAGAGGUGAAAUCCCCGGGCUCAACCUGGGAACUGCCUUUGUGACUGCAUGGCUAGAGUACGGUAGAGGGGGAUGGAAUUCCGCGUGUAGCAGUGAAAUGCGUAGAUAUGCGGAGGAACACCGAUGGCGAAGGCAAUCCCCUGGACCUGUACUGACGCUCAUGCACGAAAGCGUGGGGAGCAAACAGGAUUAGAUACCCUGGUAGUCCACGCCCUAAACGAUGUCAACUGGUGUUGGGAGGGUUUCUCUCAGUAACG
Molecule: ribosomal RNA, 498 nt
Filed under: uncultured Pseudomonadota bacterium
Lineage: Bacteria; Pseudomonadati; Pseudomonadota
Description: bacterial SSU rRNA
Rfam family: Bacterial small subunit ribosomal RNA
Source: RNAcentral